RNAcentral lists this ribosomal RNA (526 nucleotides) under uncultured bacterium. RNAcentral describes it as "bacterial SSU rRNA". It matches the Rfam family "Bacterial small subunit ribosomal RNA", at positions 9 to 526 of the family's 1533-position model. The record is from RNAcentral.
GAGUUUGAUCCUGGCUCAGGACGAACGCUGGCGGCGUGCCUAACACAUGCAAGUCGAACGAAGCUUUGAGGAGCUUGCUUUUUAAAGCUUAGUGGCGGACGGGUGAGUAACGCGUGAGCAACCUGCCUCUCAGAGGGGGAUAACGUUUUGAAAAGAACGCUAAUACCGCAUAAUAUAUCGGAACCGCAUGAUUCUGAUAUCAAAGGAGCAAUCCGCUUUGAGAUGGCCUCGCGUCCGAUUAGCUAGUUGGUGAGGUAACGGCCCACCAAGGCGACGAUCGGUAGCCGGACUGAGAGGUUGAACGGCCACAUUGGGACUGAGACACGGCCCAAACUCCUACGGGAGGCAGCAGUGGGGAAUAUUGGUCAAUGGGCGAGAGCCUGAACCAGCCAAGUAGCGUGAAGGAUGACUGCCCUAUGGGUUGUAAACUUCUUUUAUAAAGGAAUAAAGUCGGGUAUGCAUACCCGUUUGCAUGUACUUUAUGAAUAAGGAUCGGCUAACUCCGUGCCAGCAGCCGCGGUAAUAC